AUGCCUAACGAUCAACUUCCUGAUUUCAUGGAGGUGGACGAACAUAGAUACGAGUACGGGAAGCCUCUCGUCAAAGAUGAAAAAUCUCUAACAACGAUGAUGCGAAGAUCCCAUAAUUGGUACAUGAAAACAUGCAGAGAGUCUGGGGGGACGAAUAGUUUGUAUCUGAGAAUUAAAGAGGAGCACGACCUCGUUGGAACUGAUCUAUCGCCUGUUCCAUUUGAGGAGUUCUUCGAGUUCUUCAAUCAAAAGGCCAUCGAUAAAUUAACGGUCUUUUGCUACUGUCUAUUGAAGAUUGUCGAGUGCAGAAGACAAGAAAUGUAUGAUAUUGGGUUCAUUAACACAAAUAUCAUAGAUGAAAUUCAGGUUAAAAAGCACGCCGAAGAGGUCGAGGCCAACUUGCUACAAUCGUUGAUAAAAAAUCAAAACAAAGAUACCAUACUCUUUCCUUACAACUUCGAGUGA
Molecule: ribosomal RNA, 465 nt
Filed under: Triticum aestivum (bread wheat)
Lineage: Eukaryota; Viridiplantae; Streptophyta; Magnoliopsida; Poales; Poaceae
Description: partial small subunit ribosomal RNA
Source: RNAcentral